This 300-nucleotide ribosomal RNA is filed under the name Rhipicephalus microplus (southern cattle tick). RNAcentral's name for it is "partial large subunit ribosomal RNA". Lineage: Eukaryota; Metazoa; Arthropoda; Arachnida; Ixodida; Ixodidae. The record is from RNAcentral.
UGGUAUUUUGACUAUACAAAGGUAUUGAAAUAAGGUUUUAAUUGAAUGCUAAAAGAAUGGAAUAUCAAAGAAUAACUUUCUUAAAAUUAAAAAUUGAAAUUUUUUUAAUUUGUGUAAAAACAAUUAUAAAAAUUAAAGACAAGAAGACCCUAAGAAUUUUUAAAAUUUAAAUUAAUACAUUUUUGUUUUAAUUAAAUUUUAACUGGGGCGGUUAAAAAAUAUUAAAAACUUUUUAAUUUUGAAAAUGGUCCAUUAUUAAUGAAAAUAUGAUAAAAUACUCUAGGGAUAACAGCGUAAUAA